CAUCGGUCCUUCGUGACACCUAAUUGUGAAUCCUGUCAGGAUCGGAAGAUAGCAGCAGCAGCAGUGAACGUGUGCACCGAAGAUUCGCUGAUGUGG
This 96-nucleotide signal recognition particle RNA is filed under the name Gammaproteobacteria bacterium. RNAcentral's name for it is "signal recognition particle sRNA small type". It matches the Rfam family "Bacterial small signal recognition particle RNA". From Rfam's summary of the family: The signal recognition particle (SRP) is a universally conserved ribonucleoprotein involved in the co-translational targeting of proteins to membranes. Archaeal SRP consists of a 7S RNA and homologues of the eukaryotic SRP19 and SRP54 proteins. In most bacteria, the SRP consists of a 4.5S RNA and the Ffh protein (a homologue of the eukaryotic SRP54 protein). The record is from RNAcentral. Lineage: Bacteria; Pseudomonadati; Pseudomonadota; Gammaproteobacteria.